AUUGAACGCUGGCGGCAUGCCUUACACAUGCAAGUCGAACGGCAGCACGGGAGCAAUCCUGGUGGCGAGUGGCGAACGGGUGAGUAAUACAUCGGAACGUGCCCAGUAGUGGGGGAUAACCCGGCGAAAGCCGGACUAAUACCGCAUACGACCUACGGGUGAAAGCGGGGGAUCGCAAGACCUCGCGCUAUCGGAGCGGCCGAUGUCAGAUUAGCUAGUUGGUGGGGUAAAGGCCUACCAAGGCGACGAUCCGUAGCUGGUCUGAGAGGACGACCAGCCACACUGGGACUGAGACACGGCCCAGACUCCUACGGGAGGCAGCAGUGGGGAAUUUUGGACAAUGGGCGCAAGCCUGAUCCAGCCAUGCCGCGUGCGGGAAGAAGGCCUUCGGGUUGUAAACCGCUUUUGUCAGGGAAGAAACGCUCCGGGCUAAUACCACGGAGUAAUGACGGUACCUGAAGAAUAAGCACCGGCUAACUACGU
This 483-nucleotide ribosomal RNA is filed under the name uncultured bacterium. Its description in RNAcentral is "partial 16S ribosomal RNA". It matches the Rfam family "Bacterial small subunit ribosomal RNA", at positions 29 to 506 of the family's 1533-position model. The record is from RNAcentral.